CUUUUCACGCUAUUAACUUUUCUAGGUAGAUACUUAAUAGUUAUUACUAUUUUAGUAACUGCAGACUACCCCUAGAAGAUUCAGUAUCACUUCUUUUACAGUUUUUCUGUUGUUGGCCUCUUUAGAAGAUUUCCAAAGUUUCUCUAUUGUAACUAACAUUACAAUGAAUAUAUAUUAGCGUAAUGCAUUUUCACUCAAAUUUCUUACUGUUUCCCCAAAGUUAUCUAGAAAUUGGAAUAUGGGGUUAAUGAGUAUGUUUAUGGCCCCGUGAAUCCUGCCCAAAUGCUUUCCAAAGGGUUGAACCAAUCUACACUCUUACGUAGAGUGGGUGUGAGUGUCCUUUCAUCACGCCCUUUCCAGCACAGGCUAUCAUCUUUUUAAAAAUGCUGGUUGUUUUUUUCAGGUUAACUGUGCUUUCAUUUACAGUGAGAGGAACCCUUUUCCCCCCUUGAGUUUGAUUGCUAGUUUUUUCUGGUUUUGUUUUUUUAAGCAAGCCUUUUGAAGUGAGGGGGAUUUGAAUGAAGAAAGAUGGCUUAGUGAAUAAAAACUGGGAGGUUGUCCCACUAACGAUGUUAAAGGAGAAACGGCAGAGGAAGAAGUGAAUGAAAGUUCUCCAUGGACAGGAAAGGGCAGGGGGAAUAGGGAAUGAGUUUGGGAGGGGCUACGUGGUGGAACCAAGCCCCUUGAUGUGGUCCAGCCGCAGGUGUGAGAAAGAUGUACUUAGAAGCAGCGGUUUGGACCAAUUGAAAGCAAAAGAGGCUGGACUCCAGACAUGAAAUCAGCAUCAGGAUUUGGCGAAGAGAUGAAAGAGAAGUGAAUUUUGGAUUAAAGAAAUGACAGAGUCUAUCAGUUGCAGGUCCUUCUAGUUGUGGCAUGUGGGACGCUGCGUCAACGUGGCCCGAGGAGCGGUGCCAUGUCUGCACCCAGGAUCCGAACCGGUGAAACCCUGGGCCAAUGCAGCGGAGCACGCGAACUUAACCACUCGGCCAUGGGGCCGGGCCCCUCAACAGGACUGCUCUGGUGGAAGUCUUCAGCCUCUAUGGGAACAGAACAACCCAUGCUCCAUUCUGCUCAGGCUCCAGCUACACCAUAGGUUCAGCUACAGGCGUGACAGCCUAAGAGGACCACUGAUCCACUGGAGCAUAGAGCUGGGAUGAAGGAG
This 1162-nucleotide long non-coding RNA is filed under the name Equus asinus (donkey). RNAcentral describes it as "lncRNA (ENSEASG00005024685.1)". The record is from RNAcentral. Lineage: Eukaryota; Metazoa; Chordata; Mammalia; Perissodactyla; Equidae.